CAGGCUGCUCUGUGCUUGGCU
RNAcentral lists this microRNA (21 nucleotides) under Bos taurus (domestic cattle). RNAcentral's name for it is "bta-miR-2381". Lineage: Eukaryota; Metazoa; Chordata; Mammalia; Artiodactyla; Bovidae. The record is from miRBase by way of RNAcentral.